UGUAGCUUCCGGGGCUCAGGGAGUGGGCGGUGUGGUAAUUCAUACUAGUCCCCGAAGGUCACAGGUCCCUCCGCACAGCCUCUGUCAACCCCUACCCCCCACCCCCAGUCGGACACACAGCCCACUGAGACAUCCCAGGCCUGAGCCCGGCACGCGACUCCCAGCCGCCCCUUGGGGAGCAGCGAGACAGCAUUCCUUCUGCCCGCAGGCCACCUCUCCUGCCAAGGAGCGCGUGCUGGCGCAAGGCCGAAAGCCGAGGCCACUGUUGGCUUUGGCUGCUGAAGGUAGCCCGGGGCCAAGGCAUUGUGUCCAGCCAGCCCUUGCUAGGGAAUAAACUCUUACGGGAUCAGCAAGGCCCCAGGGCCCAGCCCUCUCCUCCUGGAUCCAGAGUCAGGGCCAAAGCAACUCCCCUUGCCUAGCCACAGCCCCUCCUAAGACGCGGGCGGCUGGAGCCCUGGGCUCCGGGCAUGGCUCAGCUCGAAGCAGUGCAGUCCUUUUGAUAGAAAUUCAUGUCUACCUGGAACCGCAGUCCUUUUAUACACUCUGGGUGGCUGAGUCUGAGAAAGGCAGCGUGGAGACCCGCGUCAAACUUGGCCUUUACCAGGCCACUCCCGCCCUCCCUCCCACUGUCAUCGCUUUCAAAGCCACACCUGCAGUCAAAGCCCAUACCCUCCAGUUGAGGCCAUCGGUGCCAGGAAAGGGGCUGGGGCGGGGGUGGGGGCGGAGACGGGGUGGACAGAGAGAGGCAGGAACCCAGGUCCGCUGUCCCUUGGGACCAGCUUCAACGGACACCAAAGCAAGUUGUUCCCUGUGUCUGCGGGGAGGAGGCAUGAGAGUCGGCGACUGGCUGGGCUCCGCCUGCAUUGAAGGGAGGGAGGGCCACCAGACCUGGGUUCCUGGGGGUCCCCGCUCGCCCCAGGUCUCUCCGUGCAGGGCACAGACAGUCCUUCACCUCCUGGGGGCUCUUAACUGGGAGGCCUUCCCCUCCCCCCUUCCGUCCAG
Molecule: long non-coding RNA, 1002 nt
Filed under: Oryctolagus cuniculus (rabbit)
Lineage: Eukaryota; Metazoa; Chordata; Mammalia; Lagomorpha; Leporidae
Description: lncRNA (ENSOCUG00000030491.1)
Source: RNAcentral